UAAAUCUGAUAUUUUCUAUUUUAUAAUAUUCUGUUUUGUUGUUUUGAAACGCCAGUUGUACUCAGCUGAUUUCAUGAACCUCCAGCAGGUCAUGACCAUAGUGUGAAAACACUGGUGUUGAAACCCUAACCAAGAGUGCACAGCCCAGUGUACAGCAGAAUGAGCCUCCUGUCACCAGCCCAGAGCUCUCAGACAGAAUUGAGUUCCUGUACAGUAGGACUUUCCACUCAUGUCUGUGGUCUAGGAGGAGAUUGGGUUGGGCAAACACCAGGCACGAUGGAGCAACCAUUAACCCUGGAGUUGUGAAGACAGGACCACAAGCUGAGAGAGGGCAGCAAUGGAAACCCAGCCAAACUAUUAAUGGAAGGCUGGGUCCCAUUCUUUAUUAUCCUUCUGUGGUCUCGUCACCAGCAGGGUGAGCCAAAGCCGAGGGCAAGAACACGCUGGGUGACCUUCCACACCCCAAAUGCAAGAUCAAGUGCUGUGGAGAAGGAGGCCCAUGGAAGAACUCGCUAGUGGAAACUGUCAACAUUGACUAGCUAUCAUGAGCCAGGACUGAUGGGAUGACGUGAGCAGAGGACACCAUUAUUUUGUGCUUCAUCAAAGUUGCAAGCUUAAUAAGUGACAAAGUGGGGUCCAAAACCCAAUUGCAGCUAGCCUUUUUAUUUAUACUGCUUCUCGGGUGAAGAGUCACUGACUGGUAAUCUCUGGAAAAACAAACAAGCCCCAUUUUACAGAUGAGGAAACAGAUCCCAGGAAGGCUAGGCACCAGGCCCAGGGCCUCAUCUGCUACAGGUUGGCCCCGGGUACAAGCCCAGGCAGUUGGACUCUCGUGUUUUCACCUCACUUCUAGUCAAUUCCACCUGUUUGAUUCACUCAUCGUUUACCAUUGGCCCCCUGUGGCCCCCUGGAGGCAGGAAGUCUCUUUUUGACCAUCUUCCAUGUUCAAAGUCCUACUGGGAAGAGCAAGCCUUUUAUUUGUUGCCUGUGAAGGUCUUGACUGGACUUUAUGGUCAUUUCUGGAUGAUGGUGUGGAGUGGCUUCGGAGGCAGCAGAACUGCAACUUGAUCCCAGACCUUCUGCCACCAAGUCUUGGCAUUUUCUUCAGAGCAUUGGUGUCUGGAAGCUCAGAGAAUCCCUGUGUGAAUGCAGCCGUCCUGGUCACAGGGCAAUAGAGAUGAGCUCCCUCCCUCUCAGCAAAAGUUUCCAAGUGUCACCUUAAGUAAGGCCCCUCCAAUGCUGCUGGCAGGACUGUGAACUGGUACUAUUUUUCCUGAGGACAACUGGGUAACACAUAUCAAACAUUUUAUAGACAGACUUUCCUUUUGACUCUGCAAGUUGAAAUCUAGGGAUGUUUUUUAAAGAAAUAAUUAUAUGUAUAAAAAUAUCUAUAUAUAAGCUGCUGAAAUUCUGGAAACACAAAUACCCACCAGUACUUGAGGGGUUAACUGCUUUAUGGAGCAGCUGUAAAAUGGAAUACUAAGCAGCUAUUAAAAAUAAUGUUUUAGAAGGCCACUUAAUGAUGUGGAACAUGUUCACAGUGUUUUGGAGGAGAAAAAGCAGGAUCACAAUAAAAUAGGCAUAUAUGGCAAUAGAAAAUAAGACCAGAAUAAAAUACACAAAAAAUGUGCAUAGAGCUGAUCUCAAGGUGAGAGAAUUAUGGAUAAUUUUAUUUCUGGCAUUUUGUUUUCUGGUAUCUUCUAAAUGAUAGAUAGAUAGGUAGAUAAAUAGAUAGAUAGAUAGAUAGAUAGAUAGAUAGAUAGAUAGAUAGAUAGAUUAUACCCAAAAAAUGCCAUGUCAACUUUUAAAUGUGUCAAAAGGUCUCUUACUCCCUUGAGGACAGGAAAUAGGUAGAUCAUGCUGGGUUCUCUAUGGUGGGUCUACUUUAUAGCGACUUUAGGAAAGGUAGACUCUAUUUCCCCAAACACACUGGACCCCUUGGGCAUUUGAUGCCUCCCACAUAAAAGACUUAUCCCUCUUUUAAUAGCUAUGUGCAAAGACAGUGUUGGAUACUGUCCGUGACUUUCUGUAAACCCUCUGUAAAGCACAGAGGAACAGAAGUUGUGGGAAGUUGGAGGGAAGUCCUGGCCAUCACCUCCUCCCUGGUACCCCAGUCAGCGACUCUGACAAAGGACACCUGCCUUCUCCUGAACACUCCCAGGGACAGGGAGUCCCCAUUCAUAAUAGAGUAUCUCUUACUGCUGUUCUCCUUGGAUUCACUGGAGCUUCCACCAAGCUGGAAUCUGAGGUUUCUGUCUCCUGGGGCCACACAGUGCACAUCAGCUCCCUUAUACACAUGACAGCCCUUCCAAUGCAGAAUGCAAGUCACUUGUCCUUUCCCAGACAGAUGCACAAAAAUACUGGGGUGCUUUAGUCAUUAUCAGCCAGCGGUGUGGGCUGGCUGACAUAGCUCAACUGGGAAGGGGUCUCCUCCUUGGGAAGUCCUCCAGAUGACCCCAUCAGAUACAAGGCUCCCACUGACUCCCACAGUAGGCUAACUGCCACCAUGCUGCAAGGUGGAGCACUUUCCCAGAACUCUGUGACCUCCUCAAGUAGAAGGACCUUCUCUAAACCUACGUUUUGUAUCCUGUGCCCAACACUGUACUAGGCAUCCAUUCAUUCAUUGGAGUGUGCAACAUGCCCUCACUUAUGGAGGCCUCCACAGAGCUAGGCACUGUGGCAACUUCAAGUAUAUAGUGGUAAAAGAAUCAGCAGAAGCCUUCCUUGGACAGAGCUCAGAGUGUGUGGAAUAAGUCAGAAAAUAGUCAGAUAGAAAGAUAAAAGGAUGGAUGGGUGAGUGGAUGGUUGGAUAGAUGGUUGGAAUGAUGGAUGGAU
This 2835-nucleotide long non-coding RNA is filed under the name Homo sapiens (human). RNAcentral describes it as "HSALNT0379016". The record is from RNAcentral. Lineage: Eukaryota; Metazoa; Chordata; Mammalia; Primates; Hominidae.